Pocillopora verrucosa is the source of this 815-nucleotide non-coding RNA. NCBI's taxonomy places the organism in Eukaryota, Metazoa, Cnidaria, Anthozoa, Scleractinia, Pocilloporidae. The record is from RefSeq and is a predicted model, not a curated record.
UAGCCAAUGACAAGUCCUAAAAGAUCCACGUGAUCAUGCCCGUGAUCGGAAACAAAGAAGACUCCAUUUGGCGCUCAUCUUUGAAUGUACUUUUCAUCGGUUGAUCGCUUUUCUCAACUGUUUUGCUUAAUAUAACAUUUCUAAAGAUAGCUUUUAUUGUGGUUCAAUGGGAAAACGAGAAUAGCGUGAGUGUUGUAAAAGAAAAGAAAGUCGUUGGCGCCGUGGAGUUAAAAGAAGGGACAACAGUUGACAUAUUGACUGGUACAAACAAGGGUCGAGUGGCCAUCUGUAAAGCUACGAUUUUGAAAGUUUGUGAUGUCAAGGAAUCCAGAUACAAAAUGGUCAAGGUUCGUGUUGACAACCUCAUUCAAGGCCAACUCAUUGUGAGCCCAGGAAAAAAAAUACAAACAGUACAAACAGCAGCUAAGUUUGCAGUUUAGGAUAACUUCAUUCUAAUUUAUUGUUACAGUUACAACAAGAUUUUAAUCAAAAAAUCAAUUUUAUUUGUCUGUAAUUAGCCCCUUCACUCCCAAGAGUGCUUGGUUUUCAAAUAUAACUUAAGAUAUUGUAUUUUAUGGAAAAGAAUCAACAGAUUUUAUUCACAAUUUGUGUCAAACCAAAUUUAAUGAUUGAUUAGAACUAUUUUAUAUGAAUAGCUGUAAUUGAGGAUUAAUCCGUAUGAAGUUUUCAAGAAAAGAAAAAUAAAUCAAAUUCCAUCCUAAUAUUACCACACAUUGAUGUUAAUAAUUAAUCAAAAAUAUUUUACAUGUAAGCCUUAAAUUAAGCUUCUAAAUAAAUUUCAUUGAAUACUUGAA